CAGUCGCCGCGGGAAUACGAAGGGUGCAAGCGUUAAUCGGAAUUACUGGGCGUAAAGCGUGCGUAGGCGGUUUCUUAAGUCUGCUGUGAAAUCCCCGGGCUCAACCUGGGAAUGGCAGUGGAUACUGGGAAGCUAGAGUGUGUCAGAGGAUGGUGGAAUUCCCGGUGUAGCGGUGAAAUGCGUAGAGAUCGGGAGGAACAUCAGUGGCGAAGGCGGCCAUCUGGGACAACACUGACGCUGAGGCACGAAAGCGUGGGGAGCAAACAGGAUUAGAUACCCCAGUAGUCCCUGUCUCUUAUAC
This 301-nucleotide ribosomal RNA is filed under the name uncultured bacterium. RNAcentral describes it as "partial 16S ribosomal RNA". It matches the Rfam family "Bacterial small subunit ribosomal RNA", at positions 509 to 807 of the family's 1533-position model. The record is from RNAcentral.